CACGUAGGUGGCAAGCGUUGUCCGGAUUUACUGGGCGUAAAGGGCGUGCAGGCGGUCUGUUAAGUGCAGGGUGAAAGCUCCCGGCUCAACUGGGAGAGGUCCUUGCAUACUGGCGGACUUGAGGGGGGUAGAGGAAAGUGGAAUUCCCGGUGUAGUGGUGAUAUGCGUAGAUAUCGGGAGGAACACCUGUGGCGAAGGCGGCUUUCUGGGCCCUACCUGACGCUGAGACGCGAAAGCGUGGGGAGCGAACCGG
RNAcentral lists this ribosomal RNA (253 nucleotides) under uncultured bacterium. RNAcentral describes it as "partial 16S ribosomal RNA". It matches the Rfam family "Bacterial small subunit ribosomal RNA", at positions 524 to 776 of the family's 1533-position model. The record is from RNAcentral.